Molecule: ribosomal RNA, 256 nt
Filed under: uncultured bacterium
Lineage: Bacteria
Description: partial 16S ribosomal RNA
Rfam family: Bacterial small subunit ribosomal RNA
Source: RNAcentral
UACGUAGGGUGCAAGCGUUGUCCGGAAUUAUUGGGCGUAAAGAGCUCGUAGGCGGUUUGUUGCGUCGGCUGUGAAAUCCCCGAGGCUCAACCUCGGGUCUGCAGUCGAUACGAGCAAACUAGAGUGUUGCAGGGGAGACUGGAAUUCCUGGUGUAGCGGUGAAAUGCGCAGAUAUCAGGAGGAACACCGGUGGCGAAGGCGGGUCUCUGGGCAACAACUGACGCUGGAGGAGCGAAAGCGUUGGGGAGCGAACAGG